GAGAGCCGUAUACGCCGAGAGGUGUACGUACGGUUCGGAGAGGGGUUCAGAGAAACCUGCCGUCAGAAGGCGGCAAGGCGCUUUGUUCCUACUCUAC
RNAcentral lists this non-coding RNA (97 nucleotides) under Thermoactinomyces vulgaris. The record is from RNAcentral. Lineage: Bacteria; Bacillati; Bacillota; Bacilli; Caryophanales; Thermoactinomycetaceae.